RNAcentral lists this ribosomal RNA (332 nucleotides) under uncultured bacterium. RNAcentral describes it as "bacterial SSU rRNA". It matches the Rfam family "Bacterial small subunit ribosomal RNA", at positions 568 to 898 of the family's 1533-position model. The record is from RNAcentral.
CGUGCAGGCGGUUCGGUAAGUUGGGCGUGAAAUCUCCCGGCUCAACUGGGAGAGGUCGUUCAAUACUACCGGGCUAGAGAGCAGUAGAGGAAGAUGGAAUUCCCGGUGUAGUGGUGAAAUGCGUAGAUAUCGGGAGGAACACCAGUGGCGAAGGCGAUCUUCUGGACUGUUUCUGACGCUCAGACGCGAAAGCUAGGGUAGUAAACGGGAUUAGAGACCCCGGUAAUCCUAGCUGUAAACGAUGUGAACUUGGCGUCGGUGGCUUAAACACUAUCGGUGCCGAAGCAAACGCGAUAAGUUCACCGCCUGGGGACUACGAUCGCAAGAUUAAA